This 148-nucleotide non-coding RNA is filed under the name Nomascus leucogenys (northern white-cheeked gibbon). Lineage: Eukaryota; Metazoa; Chordata; Mammalia; Primates; Hylobatidae. The record is from Rfam by way of RNAcentral.
GCUGGGUGUGGUGGUGCACGCCUAUAGUCCCAGCUACUCGGGAGGCUGAGACAGGAGAAUCACUUGAACCCAGGAGGCAGAGGUUGCAGUGAGCUGAGAUUGUGCCACUGCACUCCAGCCUGGGUGACAAAGUGAGAGUCUGUCUCAA